UAGGGGGCACUCUCAACCAGAUGC
This 24-nucleotide non-coding RNA is filed under the name Cricetulus griseus (Chinese hamster). The record is from RNAcentral. Lineage: Eukaryota; Metazoa; Chordata; Mammalia; Rodentia; Cricetidae.